CAUGUUCAAGGCAAGGACUUUAGCUGCUAGGCUACUGCGUAGGGCCCGCAGUUUCUUUUUUUUUUUAAUUGUUUAGGUAACUGAGAGGAAUAUACUCUCAUGUGGGCCUCUGAUUCGACUGGGAUGGGUUAGGUAUGUAGAAUGGUGGGUGGGACAAGUUUAUGUUUCAAUUUGUGUUUUCUGCUGUGUGCACAUGGGAGGAGGAGGAUGAGGAAAAGUCAGCUCCUGUGUCAAAUGAUAGCUGUGAGAAGUUGUUAUGCUGCAGGGUUGAGAAAAUCUUUCCAAGGUCUGCUGGCUGACAAAGUCCAUCCCAGUGUAUCCACAGAUCCAGGAACAUGCAGCAAAGCUUGGCCAGGAGAAUUGUCGAACCUUUUUGGCUUUCCAUUCAAAGACAUGGCACUUAAUGUCCCUUGCUGGCCUAGAUGAGCUGCCCCAUAUGUCUCUUGCAUCUGGACAUGCUGUUAACUGCACAGGCAUCAGCAACUGAGGAGGCUCCAUCCCAAUACAUACACUCCAGGAUCGGACCAUACGUACUAUGAUUUUCGCUGUGGGUUGGGGUAGAGAAAAGUCUCCCAAAAAACCUUGUGUGGGGUGACUUCAGACUUGACUCUUAAUAUGUUCCAGCCAGUGCAGGGUCAGGUACAGUUUGUCAGCUAAAGCACGUAGUAAUGGGAUGCAGCUGUUUCAUCCCAGUCCCAUACCUCCUGCAUACCAGUGAUGCUGUGACCUAGUUGGGGUGACCUGUAAUAACUUCCACUAGACCUGUCCCCAGCCCUGGUUUUUGCGCAUGCCAGCCUCUGCUGCAGCCUAGCCCGGCCCAACCAGAUUCCAACCUUCUCUGUUGCAUACCAUUGGUGCCAUGGCUUACCUCAGCCCACCCUGCCUCCAGACCUGGCUCUCAGGUAUGCCAACAGGUGUUGCUGCCUUGUCCAACCUGGCCCACAUCCAGCCCUAGUUCUCAUAAUCCCAGCCCCAGAUCUUUCACCUGCCAGAGUGUAGGUGCUACCGUCAGCAUUAUAUGAGUUGCAGCAGUUUCUGGCACUUGACAGCUGGUGUGGCUGUCUAGCUGGGCUGGCCCACACUCUUCCCCCUCUUGUGUUCACUAGCAGUCAAAGCAACCUAGCCAAGCCUGAACCAUCCCUCUUCCAGCUCUCACGCUCGUCUGUAGUAGCAGCAGCUCAGCAGUAUGGUUCUAGAGGUUACCCUGCUGGGCCUGCUCCCCGGCCCUGGGUUUUGCACCUGUCAUCGGGUGCUCUGGCACAGGCUAACAUGGCCUGCCCCCAAAUGGAAGAUACUUCUUUGAACACAGUCUUACUCUGAGCCUGGGUAGCCAUAAUCUUGCUUUUGACCAAAGGUAGAUUCGGCAGUACAGUCUUAUCCUGAGCACUGUGACUUAUAGUCCAGGAUGGGGCACAUUGGAAAUUUUGGCCAUUUUCACUUCUGAUGGCAAAUGUAAGAAAAUGUGAAUCUGCAGUUACCUGUUGUCGUGUCUCCUGCUUUAUGGAAGAAGGUGGGUAGGAGGAGACAGUCAAGCUGUUGGAGAGUAGUUGUGUUUUAUUAGUAGUUUUUGGAGCUGUGUGAAUUCCACUUGAGGCUUGAGUAUUCCACUCUUGUUCAGGUCCUGGAGAAAGGCAUGUGUUGCCUCAGUAAGGCCUCUUUUGCCAGUUUGUACAGUUCUGCCUUAAAAAUUUUAUAAGAUUGUAUUCAUUAAUACAUUGUUAAUAAAGACUGGUUUAUAGCAGCUACGGAAGUACGCAGUGUUAAGCAGUCCUGGCCCUGUCAGGGAAGUGGGCCUCGGGCUCUUCGUGGUGGAGUCAGGUGAAGGACAUUGCUAGAGAUGACUUCAUGGGUCUGGGCUCUGCAGACUGAGCAGCAGUUGCAAAACAGAUGGUGCUUGUCAGCUAUGUUUGUCUUUAUGUGACAAGUGGACUCAUGAGGUACUUUGAAGGCUUGAAUAUUAUCUACGGUUCUUUCGUAUCACUUACUACUUUUGCUCCUAAGCAGACUAGGUAUUCUUCAAAUACUAGCAUAGGUUAGAAAUCAGAUCCCUCCCCUGCCCCACUGGCAUUUUUAGGCUUUCUUAAAUUACUAAAAUGAUGAUGAAAUGUUGACUGUUUGGAAGAUGGGUUGACAUAGGGCAUAUUUUAAAUGGGUUUUGCAAUAAAUAGGAUGGAUUGGAUUAUACUGUAGUAACAACUCAAAAAUAAAUAUUAGUUGUAGAUAAUGCAGCUGUUGGUUCCGCUGCACAGCUGCUCUUUGAGAUGCUCACAUUCUCUGGUGUUCCCAGGGUGCUUAUUGAAGCUAAAGCUGACAGUGAGCUGGCCUCUAUGUUCUCUCAUAUUUCCCCCAGGAGUGAUCAUUUCUGCCCAUAUUUCCUUGACCACAAUAAAUUAUGAAAAUUCCCGGUGGUUUAAAAGUGCCAUCUAGGGUGAGCACUGUGGUAUGCUUAGCUACUGUUUGGGACACCUGUCUGUGUUAAUAGAUGCAGCUCAAGUCUCAGCCCCUCCAGGCUUCAGCUCCAGCUAUCUGCGCCUGGGAAGGUAGUAUAUGAUGGCCCAGCUACUUGUGUUUAUGCCCCCUUGUGGGAGAACUGAAUAGAGUGUUUGCCUUCUGGUUUUAGACUGACCUAGUCCCAGACAUUUGAGAUGUGAUUCAAUAGAUGGAAAAUUUCUUUCUCGCUCAGAUUCUGCCUUUCAAAUAAUUAUUAAGAAAAUAAAAAGUACCAUCUUACAGUUUUUAUGGGAAGACAACAAAUCAAAUACUUAUGGUUUACAGGCUAUUUUUUCUGUUUUUAAGGAAAAGUAAAAGGCUCAUCUUUGUGCCCGAAAGGCAGAGUUACAGAGAGCAGGAGACAAAAGUCUUCCAUUCUCUAGUUUCCCUCUAAAUGUCUGCCAUGGCUGGACUGGGCCAGCCGGUAGCCAGGAGCUUCCCAUACACGUGCCAUUUUUCAUUACCUUCCCAGGUACCGUAGCAGGGAUGUGGAGCAGCACCCAUGGUACAUGAUCCAUUGAGCAUGUAGGAUGCUGAUGGCACAGACGGCCGUUUCACCCACUCUGCUGUAGCGCUAGUCCCAUAAUUAACAUUCUGAAUCACAUAUUUGACAGUUUUUCCCCCCACAUUCUAUUUAAGAUUUAUCUCUAGGGUUAGGAUGUGGUCUCCUUCUCCUACUUAACCAGUCUGGGAUCCUUUCUAAAUUUUUAUUUUGUUUAUGGUAUUCUUCUGCCUCUUUGGUUGUCUUUGCAUAUUGUCUUGUUUGGGAGGACGAAAGUGAUAUGGGGUAACUUGAUGUGAUUUGCAAGUAGCUUGGUGUCUUUCUGACUACAGUUUGAUCCCUUUUGAGAAUACUUUCUAGUGGAAUGGGUUGGGUAGCGUGUAACCAGUUCUGUUCAGUUACAGUAGUUAUUGCUGUAGUCAGGCUGGCUGGAGUUCAGCUACACUGUUUCCUGUCUUCAUCACUGCUUUGGUAAUGGUGGGAGGACCAGUCUGACCCAUGGGGCCUUGUAGCCAUGGGAGGAAAUUGACUGUGUUACGCAUUGGCAGGGUUGUCUUGGUCCAGGGAGAAGCACGGUCUUGCCUAUAGUUGGACGUGGCAAACCUGCAAGUCUCAAUGACACCUGUAUUCUUUCAUGGGCCCUGAAAGUGAGUGUAGAUUUUACAAUUUUAAUAAGCAAGAGUGAGAUGGAUCCCAAAAGUCAUCUUGAAAGCAUACACUGGUAUUAAAAAGUUUGUGUAAAAUGGAAUGAGAAGUAUAUUUUGGUGCAAAAUUUUGAAGUCCACAUGAGGAA
Ochotona curzoniae (black-lipped pika) is the source of this 3785-nucleotide long non-coding RNA. RefSeq lists it as uncharacterized. The record is from RefSeq and is a predicted model, not a curated record. The transcript has 2 exons. NCBI's taxonomy places the organism in Eukaryota, Metazoa, Chordata, Mammalia, Lagomorpha, Ochotonidae.